UACGGGGGGGGCAAGCGUUGUUCGGAAUUACUGGGCGUAAAGGGCGCGUAGGCGGAUAGUUUAGUCAGAGGUGAAAGUCCGGGGCUCAACUCCGGAUCUGCGGUGGGUACGGGCAGACUAGAGUGAUGUAGGGGAGACUGGAAUUCCUGGUGUAGCGGUGAAAUGCGCAGAUAUCAGGAGGAACACCGAUGGCGAAGGCAGGUCUCUGGGCAUUAACUGACGCUGAGGAGCGAAAGCAUGGGGAGCGAACAGG
RNAcentral lists this ribosomal RNA (253 nucleotides) under uncultured bacterium. RNAcentral describes it as "partial 16S ribosomal RNA". It matches the Rfam family "Bacterial small subunit ribosomal RNA", at positions 524 to 776 of the family's 1533-position model. The record is from RNAcentral.